This is a long non-coding RNA of Mytilus californianus (California mussel), 767 nucleotides long. RefSeq lists it as uncharacterized. Lineage: Eukaryota; Metazoa; Mollusca; Bivalvia; Mytilida; Mytilidae. The record is from RefSeq and is a predicted model, not a curated record. The transcript has 4 exons.
UUUUUUUAUUUUUAUACAGAAUAUUCUGAUUUUCGAGACACACGUGAAGAAAAUUUCACAACAUUUAAAAUAUCUGAUUUAAUCCAGUGUCUAAGCAUAAAUAACAAAGAUGUCAGGAAGAGAAGGUGGUAAGAAGAAGCCCUUGAAGGCACCAAAGAAAGAAAGAGGAGAUAUGGAUGAGGAUGACCUUGCUUUCAAACAAAAACAGAAAGACGAACAGAAGAAAUUAGCUGAAGCAAAAGCCAAAGCAGGAGGGAAAGGACCGAUGGGGAGCAGUGGAAUAAAGAAAUCUGGGAAGAAAUGACAGCUGCUACAACACCAACCGAUUUUAACUGACUAUUUGAUUAUUGUUACAUGAUUUAUAUUUUCCGUAUUAUGUGCAAUCUUAUUGACAUUUUGGUUGUAAUAAUUUCAUUACCAUAACUUCAAAUGUGGUUCCUGCUUUCUGACUUUUUUUUUAUCAUGUUCUAUAAUAUCUUGUAUUUUGAAAAGAAGGUUUAAAAACAAUGUCAUUUUAAAAGCAUAUGAAAUAUUAAAACUGUUUAUACGUGAAGUUUUAACAUCAAGUUCCCCUGAGAGUGAUGUAUCAUUUCCUGAAGUUGAUCACCUGAAUUGCUAUUUAUUGUCAUUGCAUUUGAAAUACGGUUCAUAUCAGUGGUGCUUUGCCAAAAUGAUAUUUUAAUCUGAAAUGUCUAUAUAUUUUUCAAUACUUUGAGAUGUUUCAGAGUUGUCAGGAAAAAUAUUGUUAAUAAACAUUUUUAUAGUUC